This 749-nucleotide ribosomal RNA is filed under the name [Streptosporangium] indianense. RNAcentral describes it as "bacterial SSU rRNA". It matches the Rfam family "Bacterial small subunit ribosomal RNA", at positions 327 to 1066 of the family's 1533-position model. Lineage: Bacteria; Bacillati; Actinomycetota; Actinomycetes; Kitasatosporales; Streptomycetaceae. The record is from RNAcentral.
CGGCCCAGACUCCUACGGGAGGCAGCAGUAGGGAAUCUUCCGCAAUGGACGAAAGUCUGACGGAGCAACGCCGCGUGAGUGAUGAAGGUUUUCGGAUCGUAAAGCUCUGUUGUUAGGGAAGAACAAGUACCGUUCGAAUAGGGCGGUACCUUGACGGUACCUAACCAGAAAGCCACGGCUAACUACGUGCCAGCAGCCGCGGUAAUACGUAGGUGGCAAGCGUUGUCCGGAAUUAUUGGGCGUAAAGGGCUCGCAGGCGGUUUCUUAAGUCUGAUGUGAAAGCCCCCGGCUCAACCGGGGAGGGUCAUUGGAAACUGGGGAACUUGAGUGCAGAAGAGGAGAGUGGAAUUCCACGUGUAGCGGUGAAAUGCGUAGAGAUGUGGAGGAACACCAGUGGCGAAGGCGACUCUCUGGUCUGUAACUGACGCUGAGGAGCGAAAGCGUGGGGAGCGAACAGGAUUAGAUACCCUGGUAGUCCACGCCGUAAACGAUGAGUGCUAAGUGUUAGGGGGUUUCCGCCCCUUAGUGCUGCAGCUAACGCAUUAAGCACUCCGCCUGGGGAGUACGGUCGCAAGACUGAAACUCAAAGGAAUUGACGGGGGCCCGCACAAGCGGUGGAGCAUGUGGUUUAAUUCGAAGCAACGCGAAGAACCUUACCAGGUCUUGACAUCCUCUGACAAUCCUAGAGAUAGGACGUCCCCUUCGGGGGCAGAGUGACAGGUGGUGCAUGGUUGUCGUCAGCUCGUGUC